AACGAACGCUGGCGGCGUGCCUAAUACAUGCAAGUCGAACGAGAAAGCGUAGCAAUACGUUAGUAAAGUGGCAGACGGGUGAGUAAUACAUAGGUAAUCUACCUUCGAGAUGGGGAUAACCUUCGAAGGAGGCUAAUACCGAAUGAGACCACAGAGAUUAAUUUCUCAGGGGUUAAUGGUGACCUCUAUUUAUAAGUUAUCGCUUGAAGAUGAGCUUAUGCACCANCAGCUAGUUGGUAGGGUAAUGGCCUACCAAGGCUUUGACGGUUAGCUGGAUCUGAGAGGUUGAUCAGCCACACUGGGAACUGAGACACGGUCCAGACUCCGUACGGGAGGCAGCAGUAGGGAAUAUUGCGCAA
RNAcentral lists this ribosomal RNA (359 nucleotides) under uncultured bacterium. RNAcentral describes it as "bacterial SSU rRNA". It matches the Rfam family "Bacterial small subunit ribosomal RNA", at positions 29 to 371 of the family's 1533-position model. The record is from RNAcentral.